RNAcentral lists this ribosomal RNA (128 nucleotides) under uncultured eukaryote. RNAcentral's name for it is "partial small subunit ribosomal RNA". It matches the Rfam family "Eukaryotic small subunit ribosomal RNA", at positions 1651 to 1808 of the family's 1831-position model. The record is from RNAcentral.
CCCUGCCAUUUGUACACACCGCCCGUCGUUUCUUCCGACUGAUGCUUAUUGCGAGUUGCAUGGACGAAAGGAAAUGCCGCGAGUGCUAAGUUUUGGAGGAAGAAAAAGUCGUAACAAGGUUAUCGUAG